GUGAGGAAUAUUGGUCAAUGGGCGAGAGCCUGAACCAGCCAAGUCGCGUGAAGGAAGAAGGAUCUAUGGUUCGUAAACUUCUUUUGCAGGGGAAUAAAGUGCAGGACGUGUCCUGUUUUGUAUGUACCCUGAGAAUAAGGAUCGGCUAACUCCGUGCCAGCAGCCGCGGUAAUACGGAGGAUCCGAGCGUUAUCCGGAUUUAUUGGGUUUAAAGGGUGCGUAGGUGGUUUGAUAAGUCAGCGGUGAAAGUUUGCAGCUUAACUGUAAAAAUGCCGUUGAAACUGUCGGACUUGAGUGUAAAUGAGGUAGGCGGAAUGCGUUGUGUAGCGGUGAAAUGCAUAGAUAUCACGCAGAACUCCGAUUGCGAAGGCAGCUUACUAAGCUACAACUGACACUGAAGCACGAAAGCGUGGGGAUCAAACAGGAUUAGAAACCCUGGUAGUCC
Molecule: ribosomal RNA, 445 nt
Filed under: uncultured bacterium
Lineage: Bacteria
Description: partial 16S ribosomal RNA
Rfam family: Bacterial small subunit ribosomal RNA
Source: RNAcentral